RNAcentral lists this transfer RNA (80 nucleotides) under Felis catus (domestic cat). It matches the Rfam family "tRNA". From Rfam's summary of the family: Transfer RNA (tRNA) molecules are approximately 80 nucleotides in length. Their secondary structure includes four short double-helical elements and three loops (D, anti-codon, and T loops). Further hydrogen bonds mediate the characteristic L-shaped molecular structure. tRNAs have two regions of fundamental functional importance: the anti-codon, which is responsible for specific mRNA codon recognition, and the 3' end, to which the tRNAs corresponding amino acid is attached (by aminoacyl-tRNA synthetases). tRNAs cope with the degeneracy of the genetic code in two manners: having more than one tRNA (with a specific anti-codon) for a particular amino acid; and 'wobble' base-pairing, i.e. permitting non-standard base-pairing at the 3rd anti-codon position. The record is from Rfam by way of RNAcentral. Lineage: Eukaryota; Metazoa; Chordata; Mammalia; Carnivora; Felidae.
ACGUGGGUGGCUCAGUCAGUUGAGCGUCUGACUUCGGCUCAGGUCAUGAUCUCGCUGUCUGUGAGUUCCAGCCCCACGUC